CGCGUCUGGGAAUGACUCACAUCAAGGGUGGGCGAAGAGAGAGAGAGAGAGGAAAAAAAGAGCCAAAGCGCAGAAACGGCAAUGGUGAUGACUAUUCUCUUUUAGUCUUCUGAUUCAUGCUCAUGUUCUCAACCCUUUUUCCGUGAGAAAAAGUGAUAGCUAGUUCUAGCUUUGAAUCCUCGUGUUACAUAAUUUCUGUUUAUGUAAGGCGAGAUCUCUGACUCUCUGCUGUAAAAUUCACCGGUUCGCCAUGUUUGAUUUUUUUUUAUAAUCGAGUUCGACUACUUUUGUUCGUAAGAACGUGCUGGAUCUUGGAAUCUCUCUUUGUUCAUGCUGUUUUUUCUAUGUGCUUGGCAUUUUGUCGGUUUUCCUUUCAGAGGGAAAAACAACGAGGUCGGAGUUUUUUUUCCCCCCUCAAUUUAUUUUGUUGAUAUUGUGUUUUUUAUGUGAAUCUACAUGGAGCUGGGGCGAAGACACUGGAUGCAGCGGUUCAUCGAUCUCUUCCUGAUCUUUUGUGUGGGAGAACACAAAGCAUGAAUCGAUCGAUAAACCUCUGCAUCCAAUGCCUACUUGGUCUCUUUCACUAUUUUCGAUGUCAUCUGUUUGGUUGCCGAGAAACUGUGAGAAAACCACGAGCACGAGUUUUUUUAGUUUAAAAGAAAAAUUACCUCGUUAUUUAGAAUCAUUUAUAGAGCUAGUUUUUAAUUUUUUCCCCACCAACCCGGGGACUAUAUGUGUUUGUCUUAGAUUUAGAAUGACGCAGCUUAGUUUUGUUGCUUUUAUCCUCGUUUGAGCAGUUACCAGUAGUUUCUUGUUGAGAGUUUCUUUGUUAAUAUUUUCUUGGAACCUCUUGCUUGAUUUCCAGUAAUAGUGUUGUAUGGCCUCUUAAUGAUCGAUUCGCCAGCUGCUAUCAUUUUGAAUCAAUUUGCAUAAUCCUAUCGAUUAUCGUUCAAAAAAUUAGAUGUUUCGGGUUCCAACUUACAUAUGUGAUCAUGCAUUAUAAUAUCAUACAUGGAUGAUUUUCAUUGUAGGAGUAUGAUAUGUAACUAUCAGGUUGGAUGAACUGACCUUCCAAGAUAUUGGCUAUAAUAUUGCGGCUGCCGACAAUCCAGUUUGUGAUGCUCCUGUGCUGGCAAACUGGAUCUUAUAUUAAGUGGGGUGGUUCAUCAUCUAUUGCAUUAUUCGUAGACGGAUUUCUACUUUUACUUUCAGUGUUCAUUUUUUUUACUCUUCUACUCUCAAGCCUCUCAACAAGAUAAGAGCAUUCUCCCAGCUGACUCUUUUGUCAUGUGUUUUAUGGGUCAAUCGCUUUUCAAGUUUUUAUCAUCUUGAGGGUCCUUUUCCUGCUAUAUAGGUAUAGCCCCAUCGGAAUAUUGCCGAGAUUCCACAGUCUCUUACCAGUAAAUAAGUUGUUUUCAACUGGUGUCUUUUUCAAGUUGUGAGAAAUAAUCUUCUUUGGUACCAUCCACUUUAAAUUAUAUGUAUACUUCAUUGUGUUCUUAUAAUCCUCUUUGGUACUAUCCAUUUUCUCCAUUGUAUUUUUCUUCUUGAAAUUAUCGCCUUCAUUUUUCCCCGUUCAAAUAUAAAAUAUCAAUCCUUGUUCGAGGCAUUAAUUACGUCUAUAUAAAAAGCUGAAAAGAACUAUGGUUUUUUCUGAUAGAGACUUUGGUACUGCAACCUCCUAGCUUAUUACGUGUUAAUUGGCUGGAAGUUGCAGAUCGGGCAUGCUUAAUAUAGUUCACAUUGGUGCCACCUCUUUUUUGUGUAAGAUAUGUUUCAAGCGGCGACCUUUUCAUUCUAUGAUUAAUUGCCCCAAACAUUGGCUUGGCAUGUUAUGCACUCAAACAGAGAAGAUGUCUCCAUUCAGUUCUAAAAUUUGGAGCUCCUUAUUUUGAUGGUAGAGUUUUCUGAAGAUGAUCUGGGGAUGAAAUGUGAAUUGCUCUGGUUCUAGUAUAUCAUUUUCUUGGGCAUAAUGAUGGUUUGAAGGUCCCUGCUUGUUGCUUUCUUGUAAAGGAAAAGGUAUCCUUGGAAAGUAAGAUUUACUCCAGGGGGUAGGCCAGGCCUACUGAACAAUAUUAAACAUGACGACUAAGAAAGGAGGCUACAGUGGAUGGAGUACAACUUGAUGGAGAAUCUAGUUGCUAAUGAUGUUUACGGGAAUCUGGAUCAAAUUCUUAUAUGAGUUAAUCAUAUCCAAUCCGACUAAGGCUCAGUUUGGAUCAAUUGUUGUCACGAGUCCAUAGAACUCAUUGGCCUACUCAUAAUAUUUUGGUGAAUUCUCCAUCCAAACAGAGUCUAAAAGACGGGUAAUUUCUGUCGUCAUCUGGAGUAAAUAAAGCAAAGUCCAAGUUUAGAUUGGGGAAACAAUCGAGUCUAUGAAUAGUAAGUAACUGGUUGAUGCCGAGAAUAUCCUAUGGGGAGAUUCCUUGUUCCCGAGUCCCGACUUGAUGACUCAUUCAAUUAUUAUCUCACACCAUUGGCCAUUUAGCUUUCGACAUUAUUCCU
Molecule: long non-coding RNA, 2505 nt
Organism: Neltuma alba
Lineage: Eukaryota; Viridiplantae; Streptophyta; Magnoliopsida; Fabales; Fabaceae
Exons: 2
Source: RefSeq, a predicted model, not a curated record